GGUGGUCUGUAAGGGCUGCUGGACGUAUCAGAAGUGCGAAUGCUGACAUGAAGAACGAUAAAGGGGGUGAAAAACCCCCUCGCCGGAAGACCAAGGGUUCCCUGUCCAACUUAAUCGGGGCAGGGUAAGUCGACCCCCUAAGGGCGAGGCCGAAAGGCGUAGUCGAUGGGAAACGGGUUAAUAUUCCCGUACUUCUUAUAAUUGCGAUGGGGGGACGGAGAAGGCUAGGUUGGGCCUGGCGACGGUUGUCCAAGGUUCAAGUACGUAGGCGGAA
Molecule: non-coding RNA, 274 nt
Filed under: Vibrio genomosp. F10
Lineage: Bacteria; Pseudomonadati; Pseudomonadota; Gammaproteobacteria; Vibrionales; Vibrionaceae
Description: Vibrio sp. F10 Bacterial large subunit ribosomal RNA
Rfam family: Bacterial large subunit ribosomal RNA
Source: Rfam by way of RNAcentral